Ipomoea nil (Japanese morning glory) is the source of this 112-nucleotide non-coding RNA. The record is from Rfam. NCBI's taxonomy places the organism in Eukaryota, Viridiplantae, Streptophyta, Magnoliopsida, Solanales, Convolvulaceae.
GAGAGCACAGUACGAUGAAAGUUGUAUGCUGUGUUCGGGGGGGAAUUAUUGUCUAUCGUUGGCCUCUAUGGUAGAAUCAGUCGGGGACCUGAGAGGCGGUGGUUUACCCUGC